Molecule: ribosomal RNA, 319 nt
Filed under: uncultured bacterium
Lineage: Bacteria
Description: bacterial SSU rRNA
Rfam family: Bacterial small subunit ribosomal RNA
Source: RNAcentral
UGACGGUACUUGACUAAGAAGCCCCGGCUAACUACGUGCCAGCAGCCGCGGUAAUACGGAAGGUCCGGGCGUUAUCCGGAUUUAUUGGGUUUAAAGGGAGCGUAGGCGGGCCUUUAAGUCAGUGGUAAAAGCGUGUGGCUCAACCAUACCACGCCAUUGAAACUGGAGGCCUUGAGUGCACACAGGGAUGCUGGAAUUCGUCGUGUAGCGGUGAAAUGCUUAGAUAUGACGAAGAACUCCGAUCGCGAAGGCAGGUGUCCGGGGUGUAACUGACGCUGAGGCUCGAAAGUGCGGGUAUCAAACAGGAUUAGAUACCCUG